RNAcentral lists this unclassified non-coding RNA (378 nucleotides) under uncultured Chlamydiales bacterium. Its description in RNAcentral is "contains 16S-23S intergenic spacer region". Lineage: Bacteria; Pseudomonadati; Chlamydiota; Chlamydiia; Chlamydiales. The record is from RNAcentral.
UCCUGGUUAACCCAGGCAGUCUCACUAGAGUUCCCACCAUUACGUGUUGGCAACUAGUGACAAGGGUUGCGCUCGUUGCGGGACUUAACCCAACACCUCACGGCACGAGCUGACGACAGCCAUGCAGCACCUGUGCACCGGCCCCGAAGGGAAGCCCUAUUUCUAGAGCGGUCCAAUGCAUGUCAAGCCCAGGUAAGGUUCUUCGCGUUGCAUCGAAUUAAACCACAUGCUCCACUGCUUGUGCGGGUCCCCGUCAAUUCUUUUGAGUUUCACCCUUGCGAGCGUACUCCCCAGGCGGUAUACUUAACACGUUAGCUACGGCACAGCCAGGGUUGAUUCCGGCUACACCAAGUAUACAUCGUUUACAGCUAGGACUAC